CGAAAGCUAUUUAGGUAGCGCCUCGUGAAUUCAUCUCCGGGGGUAGAGCACUGUUUCGGCAAGGGGGUCAUCCCGACUUACCAACCCGAUGCAAACUGCGAAUACCGGAGAAUGUUAUCACGGGAGACACACGGCGGGUGCUAACGUCCGUCGUGAAGAGGGAAACAACCCAGACCGCCAGCUAAGGUCCCAAAGUCAUGGUUAAGUGGGAAACGAUGUGGGAAGGCCCAGACAGCCAGGAUGUUGGCUUAGAAGCAGCCAUCAUUUAAAGAAAGCGUAAUAGCUCACUGGUCGAGUCGGCCUGCGCGGAAGAUGUAACGGGGCUAAACCAUGCACCGAAGCUGCGGCAGCGACGCUUAUGCGUUGUUGGGUAGGGGAGCGUUCUGUAAGCCUGUGAAGGUGUGCUGUGAGGUAUGCUGGAGGUAUCAGAAGUGCGAAUGCUGACAUAAGUAACGAUAAAGCGGGUGAAAAGCCCGCUCGCCGGAAGACCAAGGGUUCCUGUCCAACGUUAAUCGGGGCAGGGUGAGUCGACCCCUAAGGCGAGGCCGAAAGGCGUAGUCGAUGGGAAACAGGUUAAUAUUCCUGUACUUGGUGUUACUGCGAAGGGGGGACGGAGAAGGCUAUGUUGGCCGGGCGACGGUUGUCCCGGUUUAAGCGUGUAGGCUGGUUUUCCAGGCAAAUCCGGAAAAUCAAGGCCGAGGCGUGAUGACGAGGCACUACGGUGCUGAAGCAACAAAUGCCCUGCUUCCAGGAAAAGCCUCUAAGCAUCAGGUAACAUCAAAUCGUACCCCAAACCGACACAGGUGGUCAGGUAGAGAAUACCAAGGCGCUUGAGAGAACUCGGGUGAAGGAACUAGGCAAAAUGGUGCCGUAACUUCGGGAGAAGGCACGCUGAUACGUAGGUGAAGCGACUUGCUCGUGGAGCUGAAAUCAGUCGAAGAUACCAGCUGGCUGCAACUGUUUAUUAAAAACACAGCACUGUGCAAACACGAAAGUGGACGUAUACGGUGUGACGCCUGCCCGGUGCCGGAAGGUUAAUUGAUGGGGUUAGCGCAAGCGAAGCUCUUGAUCGAAGCCCCGGUAAACGGCGGCCGUAACUAUAACGGUCCUAAGGUAGCGAAAUUCCUUGUCGGGUAAGUUCCGACCUGCACGAAUGGCGUAAUGAUGGCCAGGCUGUCUCCACCCGAGACUCAGUGAAAUUGAACUCGCUGUGAAGAUGCAGUGUACCCGCGGCAAGACGGAAAGACCCCGUGAACCUUUACUAUAGCUUGACACUGAACAUUGAGCCUUGAUGUGUAGGAUAGGUGGGAGGCUUUGAAGUGUGGACGCCAGUCUGCAUGGAGCCGACCUUGAAAUACCACCCUUUAAUGUUUGAUGUUCUAACGUGGACCCGUGAUCCGGGUUGCGGACAGUGUCUGGUGGGUAGUUUGACUGGGGCGGUCUCCUCCUAAAGAGUAACGGAGGAGCACGAAGGUUGGCUAAUCCUGGUCGGACAUCAGGAGGUUAGUGCAAUGGCAUAAGCCAGCUUGACUGCGAGCGUGACGGCGCGAGCAGGUGCGAAAGCAGGUCAUAGUGAUCCGGUGGUUCUGAAUGGAAGGGCCAUCGCUCAACGGAUAAAAGGUACUCCGGGGAUAACAGGCUGAUACCGCCCAAGAGUUCAUAUCGACGGCGGUGUUUGGCACCUCGAUGUCGGCUCAUCACAUCCUGGGGCUGAAGUAGGUCCCAAGGGUAUGGCUGUUCGCCAUUUAAAGUGGUACGCGAGCUGGGUUUAGAACGUCGUGAGACAGUUCGGUCCCUAUCUGCCGUGGGCGCUGGAGAACUGAGGGGGGCUGCUCCUAGUACGAGAGGACCGGAGUGGACGCAUCACUGGUGUUCGGGUUGUCAUGCCAAUGGCACUGCCCGGUAGCUAAAUGCGGAAGAGAUAAGUGCUGAAAGCAUCUAAGCACGAAACUUGCCCCGAGAUGAGUUCUCCCUGACCCUUUAAGGGUCCUGAAGGAACGUUGAAGACGACGACGUUGAUAGGCCGGGUGUGUAAGCGCAGCGAUGCGUUGAGCUAACCGGUACUAAUGAACCGUGAGGCUUAACCUUACAACGCCGAAG
RNAcentral lists this ribosomal RNA (2100 nucleotides) under Shigella flexneri. RNAcentral describes it as "partial 23S ribosomal RNA". It matches the Rfam family "Bacterial large subunit ribosomal RNA", at positions 860 to 2925 of the family's 2925-position model. Lineage: Bacteria; Pseudomonadati; Pseudomonadota; Gammaproteobacteria; Enterobacterales; Enterobacteriaceae. The record is from RNAcentral.